AGCUCACAAGGGUCCCCAGGGACAGGGUGAGGUCGGGAGCUGAAAAGGCUGCAGUCUUUAUCUCUCCUUGCCUUUCGUGACUGGAGUACUGAGAGAGGCUGUAGACCGUCUUGAAAGGUUGCAGUAGGAAGAACUAGAAAGGGACGGGAAAAUGCGUCUCGGGAAGUCAGAUGUGCAGAGGUGUCGCGGCAGCGGGAGUCCAUGUCAUCUGAUCUAGAGCGGCUCUCCCCGCCCAGGCUGGCCUGAGACUAGGUAGCCACAGGGGAUGCUACAGGGUGGGUCUUGGGAUCGCCCCCUCCCUUUGGGCAGCCCAAGCCUCACCGUCACUUCUUGGUGGAGUUGUGGGGCGUCGCGACCAGACAAGAGUGGGUGAUGCUUCCUCUGAUGUCCAGACUGCCCCUUGUUCCUGCACCUGCGCGAUCCACCUCGGAACUACCACUGAGAUCCUGUGAGUCGGGAGAGGGGCGCCAGCCGGGCUGCUGGCUGGUAGUCCCGCCCGGGUUCCAAGAGGCCGCCCCUCCAGCCCGCCUCUGCCCCGCCCGCCACUGCGGAGGGGGCUGCGGCUCAGUUCCUUCGGGCACCGCACCGCCUCCGCGCGUCAGCUCAGGCCGGCAGAGCCAGGCAAGAGACCGCAGUGCAGAGAGCCAGUACCCCAGCCACUGCACGACCCCCACCAACGGCACAGUGAAGCUGAGCGCCCCCUCUCCAUCCUUCUGGAGGAUCUUGAGGGAAGAGUCUGGGAACCCCGGGAAGUGAGCGAAGUAAGUCUGUGGGCUUGUGAGAUCGUGGCUCAGUGAGUAAAGGCAUUUGCCACCAUGCCCGGAUAACCUGAGAACUGUCUCCAGAACCUGCAUGGAAGAAGGCUGUGUAUGAUGGCAUUAUGUGCCCCUCCCCCACAAAUAUGCUCCCAAAAUAAAUACCAUGUAACUUUAAAACUU
Molecule: long non-coding RNA, 938 nt
Organism: Mus musculus (house mouse)
Lineage: Eukaryota; Metazoa; Chordata; Mammalia; Rodentia; Muridae
Product: predicted gene, 35685
Exons: 3
Source: RefSeq, marked validated